UGAGGAAUAUUGGUCAAUGGGCGGGAGCCUGAACCAGCCAAGCCGCGUGAGGGAAUAAGGCCCUACGGGUCGUAAACCUCUUUUGUCGGGGAACAAAAGCGGGGACGUGUCCCCGUCUGCGUGUACCCGAAGAAAAGCAUCGGCUAACUCCGUGCC
RNAcentral lists this ribosomal RNA (156 nucleotides) under uncultured bacterium. RNAcentral's name for it is "partial 16S ribosomal RNA". It matches the Rfam family "Bacterial small subunit ribosomal RNA", at positions 355 to 509 of the family's 1533-position model. The record is from RNAcentral.